GAUGAACGCUGGCGGCGUGCCUAAUACAUGCAAGUCGAGCGAACGGACGAGAAGCUUGCUUCUCUGAUGUUAGCGGCGGACGGGUGAGUAACACGUGUAUAACCUACCUAUAAGACUGGGAUAAUUUCGGGAAACCGGAGCUAAUACCGGAUAAUAUUUUGAACCGCAUGGUUCAAUAGUGAAAGACGGUCUUGCUGUCACUUAUAGAUGGAUCCGCGCUGCAUUAGCUAGUUGGUAAGGUAACGGCUUACCAAGGCAACGAUGCAUAGCCGACCUGAGAGAGUGAUCGGCCACACGGGAACUGAGACGCGGUCCAGACUACUACGGGAGGCAGCAGUAGGGAAUCGUACGCAAUGGGCGAAAGCCUGACGGAGCAACGCCGCGUGAGUGAUGAAGGUCUUCGGAUCGUAAAACUCUGUUAUUAGGGAAGAACAUAUGUGUAAGUAAAUGUGCACAGCUUGACGGUACCUAAUCAGAAAGCCACGGCUAACUACGUG
RNAcentral lists this ribosomal RNA (497 nucleotides) under uncultured bacterium. RNAcentral describes it as "partial 16S ribosomal RNA". It matches the Rfam family "Bacterial small subunit ribosomal RNA", at positions 28 to 507 of the family's 1533-position model. The record is from RNAcentral.